AAAUAUUUAAUUAUAGUAUGAAAAUUAUAUUUAUUAUUUUAUUUUAUAUAUAAAUUUUGUUUAAAUAAUAUUUAAGUAGUAUAUAAUUUUAAAUUUAAAAUAAAUUUUGAUUUAGAAAAUAAUAUAAAAUUAACCAAAUUUGUGCCAGCAGUUGCGGUUAUUCAAAUAAUUUAAUUUAAUUUUUUUAGUUUUAAUUAAAUGAUAAAUUUUAAUUUAAAGUAAAUUUUUAAGGUGAAAUUUUAAAUUUAUUAAAUUAUUAUUUUUAAUAAUUGAUUUAAAAAAAUUAAUUUUUAAACUAGGAUUAGAUACCCUAUUAUUUUAAUUGUAAUUUUAUUAAACUAAAUAAUUAAUAGUUAAGUUCUUUAAAGUUAAAUAAUUUGGCGGUAUUUUAGUCUUUUUAGAGGAACCUGUUCUAUAAUUGAUAGUCCACGUUUUAAUUAACUUAAAUUAGAAGUUUAUAUAUCGUCGUGAAGAAUAUUUUUUUAGAAAUUAAUAUUUAUAAUAUAUUAUAUUAUAGUAAUUCAGAUCAAGGUAUAGUUUAUAUUUAAGAAGAAAUGGGUUACAAUAAAUAAAUUUUUGGAUAUAAAAUUGAAAAUUUUAUUAAAAUUGGAUUUAAAAGUAAUUAAAUUUAUUUUAUUUUAAUGAUUAAGCUCUAAAAUAUGUACAUAUCGCCCGUCACUUUCAUUUUAAAAUGGAAUAAGUCGUAACAAAGUAGAUUUACUGGAAAGUGAAUCUAGAAUUCAA
Molecule: non-coding RNA, 744 nt
Filed under: Scymninae sp. 4 ACP-2013
Lineage: Eukaryota; Metazoa; Arthropoda; Insecta; Coleoptera; Coccinellidae
Source: RNAcentral